RNAcentral lists this ribosomal RNA (508 nucleotides) under Platyphora decorata. RNAcentral's name for it is "partial 16S ribosomal RNA". The stretch from base 382 to 508 matches the Rfam family "Bacterial large subunit ribosomal RNA", at positions 2473 to 2600 of the family's 2925-position model. Lineage: Eukaryota; Metazoa; Arthropoda; Insecta; Coleoptera; Chrysomelidae. The record is from RNAcentral.
GUYUUUUUGUUAAUUAUUUAAAGUCUAGUCUGCCCCCUGAAAAUUAAAUGGCCGUGGUAUUUUGACCGUGCUAAGGUAGCAUAAUCANUNGUUUCUUAAUUAGAAUCUGGAAUGAAGGGCUGGAUAAAAAACUAUCUGUCUCUAUUUAAAUUUAUUAAAAAUUUACAUUUAAGUAAAAAGGCUUAAAUAUAUUUAAAAGACGAGAAGACCCUAUAGAGUUUAAUUUUAAAUUUAAAUAUAUAUUUAAGAAUUAAAUUUUAUAUUUAAUUUUAAAAUUUAGUUGGGGUGAUUGAAAAAUUUAGUAAACUUUUUUUAUUAUAUACCAUAAAUUAAUGAUUAUUUGAUCCGAGGUUUUUGAUUAUAAGAUAAAAUUACCUUAGGGAUAACAGCGUAAUUUUUUUAAAGAGUUCAUAUUUAAAAGAGAGAUUGCGACCUCGAUGUUGGAUUAAAAUUUAUAUUUGGUGUAGAAGCUAAAAUAUUAAGUCUGUUCGACUUUUAAAAUUUUACA